AAAAAUGAAGAUAAUAGUGAGUACAGAGAAUUACUGAUGGAAAACAAAGAGUUAAGAGAUAAGAUAGUUGAUAAAGAAAUAAUCAUAAAACGGUUGUCUGAUGAAGUGAAAGAGUUAAAGAGAAACCGCGAUUGGGAAGGUAUAUUAUGUGAGAUAAUCAAGGACAUGCAAGUAAAUUCUGAUAUACCACAAGUUUCUACUCUCAUUCAUGCGAAUAUGAAGAUAACUGAGACUUUUGUUGCAAAUCAAAAUUCUUUAGUAAAGCGUGUCAAAGUGCAGGGUAGGAAGAGGAUUCCUUCAAAAGUCUUACAAUCUCCAUACACUGAACUUUUAUGUAAAACCAAAGGUAAAAGUAUAUGUGAAACUCCUGAAAUCUAAUCACGUAUGGAAAAGAGUAAUGAGUAUAUGUUAUCCCAAGAAAAGGUGAAUGCAAUUACGACUCUUAAAGCUCAGAAUAAAAUCAAGGAUCAAAUAUUUGGCCCACUUCAUGUCGAAAGGAGAUCCUUAGAGUCAUUGUUGAAUCCAAUGAAAUGGGUAGAUGAUGAGGUUAUAUCCAAGUAUGGUGAAUUGAUGGCUAUUCGAGAAAAUAGAGGUGGGCAUAAUUUGUUAAAAUGUCACUUCUUCAGCACAUGGUUUCAUGUA
Molecule: long non-coding RNA, 642 nt
Organism: Magnolia sinica
Lineage: Eukaryota; Viridiplantae; Streptophyta; Magnoliopsida; Magnoliales; Magnoliaceae
Exons: 3
Source: RefSeq, a predicted model, not a curated record